UACCGGCGGCUCGAGUGGUGGCCACUAUUACUGGGCUUAAAGCGUUCGUAGCUGGGUCGUUAAGUCUCUUGGGAAAUCUACCGGCUUAACCGAUAGGCGUCCAAGGGAUACUGGCGAUCUAGGGACCGGGAGAGGUGAGGGGUACUUCAGGGGUAGGAGUGAAAUCCUGUAAUCCUUGGGGGACCACCUGUGGCGAAGGCGCCUCACCAGAACGGCUCCGACAGUGAGGGACGAAAGCUGGGGGAGCAAA
This 250-nucleotide ribosomal RNA is filed under the name uncultured bacterium. Its description in RNAcentral is "partial 16S ribosomal RNA". It matches the Rfam family "Archaeal small subunit ribosomal RNA", at positions 474 to 723 of the family's 1478-position model. The record is from RNAcentral.